RNAcentral lists this unclassified non-coding RNA (184 nucleotides) under soil metagenome. Its description in RNAcentral is "partial internal transcribed spacer 1". The record is from RNAcentral.
CCGAGUUUACAACUCCCAAACCCAAUGUGAACGUUACCAAACUGUUGCCUCGGCGGGGUCACGCCCCGGGUGCGUAAAAGCCCCGGAACCAGGCGCCCGCCGGAGGAACCAACCAAACUCUUUCUGUAGUCCCCCUCGCGGACGUAUUUCUUACCAGCUCUGAGCAAAAAUUCAAAAUGAAUCA